UUGUAAUGAUGUUGAUCAAAUGUCUGACCUGAAAACGAGCAUGUGGACAAAUUUAACGCUGAAUAA
Cavia porcellus (domestic guinea pig) is the source of this 66-nucleotide small nucleolar RNA. Lineage: Eukaryota; Metazoa; Chordata; Mammalia; Rodentia; Caviidae. The record is from Ensembl.